AUGCAUCAAGGCUACUCAAAGGUCUUCUUCCCUACGGAAAUAUUCAGUUGGAAGAUAAACAUACUAAGACAACACCAAGUUCUGGUAAUCAGACAAAAGACAAACUCUCCGUUGUCCAAGCAAUAUUGACUAAGACACAACAUGUGUUUUCCCAACACACAUAAUGACUAAAAUCUGUGAGGAUCAGUAAGCCCAUUUUUUUAGACCAGAGGACGUGGAGGUCACAACCCAUCAGGGCAAAGAUAGGCAUCGGCGUCGUCGUAGCGGCGAGCAAAUGGCAUAUACGAUAUGAAAUCAGAGGGUGAAUGCCAUCUGAUUCCAGAGGGUUCUCCAUGCGUGUCAACGGGGGAAAAGGCCAUCACAGAGUUGGAUUGUUUCCCUCCGAAAAGAAAGGUGGAGGAUGCCUGACUGAAUGGAAGCAUCUGGUUCAGCGGUUCAUCUCCCAGCGUCCAGACCACUGGCGUGUUGAAGAUGGAUGGAGUGUCCUGGACAAGGGGGUUUAAAGUCCCCCUGAUUUGACAAUCACGCAUUCCAGGGGGGGACGGUUCUGCCUGGCCAAUGAUCUUUAUUGAGGAGAAGGAGUUAAAAGAAGCAUGUCAUUGCUCCCGUUUGAUGUCCUCUGCAUCCGGCUCACUUUCCGUGCCAGGAGCUGUGGUCAACGCCUUUUCCACAGAGCGCCUGAUCAAAAACGGGAUUUACGUCAGCUGCUCCGGUGAAUUGGCAAUAUUCUGCAAACUGAUGGUCAUUUGUGUACAAAUGUACUUGUCAGGAGACUAAAACUGUGUCCUGAACGCUGCUAUUGCUUCGGCUUAGUCGUGUUGAGAGGAUUUUGGAGAAUGCUGUGCUAAAAUUAGGCACAAAGCAUUGUUUUCUUUGGUGAAUUCUGAGGACAUGAUCAAACCCAAGGACAGUUGUUUGGGAAUAGUUGGCACAAUUAGACGACAUUUAUUAGUUAGCCAACAAUAUUUUCC
Gasterosteus aculeatus aculeatus (three-spined stickleback) is the source of this 971-nucleotide long non-coding RNA. The record is from Ensembl. Lineage: Eukaryota; Metazoa; Chordata; Actinopteri; Perciformes; Gasterosteidae.